UACGUAGGUGGCGAGCGUUGUCCGGAUUUACUGGGCGUAAAGCGUGCGCAGGCGGUUUUGUAAGCCCGAUGUGAAAUCCCCGGGCUUAACCUGGGAAUGGCAUUUGGGACUGCAAGGCUGGAGUGUGGCAGAGGAGACUGGAAUUCCUGGUGUAGCAGUGAAAUGCGUAGAUAUCAGGAGGAAUACCGAUGGCGAAGGCAGGUCUCUGGGCUGACACUGACGCUCAUGCACGAAAGCGUGGGGAGCAAACAGG
RNAcentral lists this ribosomal RNA (253 nucleotides) under uncultured bacterium. RNAcentral describes it as "partial 16S ribosomal RNA". It matches the Rfam family "Bacterial small subunit ribosomal RNA", at positions 524 to 776 of the family's 1533-position model. The record is from RNAcentral.